RNAcentral lists this ribosomal RNA (782 nucleotides) under uncultured Neocallimastigales. Its description in RNAcentral is "partial large subunit ribosomal RNA". It matches the Rfam family "Eukaryotic large subunit ribosomal RNA", at positions 22 to 635 of the family's 3401-position model. The record is from RNAcentral. Lineage: Eukaryota; Fungi; Neocallimastigomycota; Neocallimastigomycetes; Neocallimastigales.
CAUAGCGACUAUCGUGGCAUAUCAAUAAGCGGAGGAAAAGAAACUAACUAGGAUUCCCCUCAGUAACGGCGAGUGAAGCGGGAAGAGCUCAAAUUUGAAAUCUUCAAGGGUUCUACCUUUACGAAUUGUAGUUUAAAGAAGUGUUUUCUGUUGGAGUUUUCGGUAAAAGUUCUUUGGAAUAGGACAUCAUAGAGGGUGAGAAUCCCGUAUUUGACCAGUUACUUUCCAGCUUUGUGAUACACUUUCAAAGAGUCGGAUUGUUUGGGAAUGCAGUCCAAGAUGGGUGGUAAAUUUCAUCUAAAGCUAAAUACUGGCGAGAGACCGAUAGCGAACAAGUACCGUGAGGGAAAGAUGAAAAGAACUUUGAAAAGAGAGUUAAACAGUACGUGAAAUUGUCAAAAGGGAAGCGUUUGACACCAGUGUUGUUUAGUUGAAAAUCAAUUCAAUAAUUUUUGAUUUUAAGUAGUAUUGACUUCAUCAGCUUGCUACUCUCUUUUCAGGAAAUUAUUGAAUGCACUUUUCAGUUAACAAGUCAACAUCAAUUUCUUUUGUUGUAAAAGGGUAAGAGGAAGGUGGCUUACGUUUCGGCGUAAGUGUUUAUAGCCUUUUACCUCUGCAAUCGGAGAGAUUGAGGACAGCAGCGUAGACUCCUUCUGGGGUUAGAUACACUUGUGCUAAGCUAUAGCCUUGUAUAGACAACUUGUUGACUAUGCUCAGUCAUGUAGCUUACUCGCUUGUGCUAUUUUACCUACGCUUAGGAUGUUGAUAGUCACAGCGUGUAC